GUUCGUUCUUGAACAUAUACUAAAACUGGAACAAUACAGAGAAGAUUAGCAUGAUCCCUGCGCAAGGAUGACACGCAAAUUUGUGAAGCGUUCCAUUUUUUG
Molecule: small nuclear RNA, 102 nt
Filed under: Nippostrongylus brasiliensis
Lineage: Eukaryota; Metazoa; Nematoda; Chromadorea; Rhabditida; Heligmosomidae
Source: RNAcentral